GAAGGGUGUUUGUCAGAACUUAAAAGAAGCUUCAUCAUGUUUAAGUUGCCUUUCUAAAUUGGCUUUCACAUGUACGUACGGCAGCAGCAUCAUAGGAAUUAGUCCUCAACCAAGGGAUUUAUGGAUGAUCACAAUAUAUGCUCAGUUGUUUCAACAAGAAUGGUGUCACGGUAACAUUUCUCUUAGAGAAAUACAUAUGCAUGCUUAUAUUUGUGUUGGCCAACAACUAGGACAUAGAUGCAAAGUAGUUGAAUGGAAUGCACAAAUUUCACAUUCACUUCCAAGAGGCUGAUAGGUUUGUGAUGUUACUGGUGGUUUGAAGCUUUUAUAGAAGCAUUUUUUGUGUCCUCGAGCUUAGGAGUAGGAGUUCAAGGAGCGGUGGUUGAAUUUUGUGAUCAGCUUGUGGUAUUCACUCUUUCUGAAGCUUUUAUAGAAGCAUUUUGUGUCCUCGAGCUUAGGAGUAGGAGUUCAAGGAGCGGUGGUUGAAUUUUGUGAUCAGCUGUGCUAUUGCACUCUUUCUGAUCUGCUGCUGAAGAAUGAUCCUUGACUUCAUUACAUAUUGUGGUGUCCUUUUUUGAAGCUGAUUCGGAGCUAAGGCCGAUGACAGGAGCCAGCAACGGUGUGUGUUUGCUCAUUUCCAAUCUUUUUAAUGUCAUAUGAACAUCGGUGAGGAUCAUCUCGAUUUCUUUGAGGCUAGGAUGCCUUGACAUGCAUGCGCAAUGACAGAAGCAACGCCACCAGCGGAUGCCUUGACAUGCAUGUGCAAUGACAGAAGCAACGCCACCAGCGGAUGCCUUAGUAAGGUCAGGAUCAUCUCGAUUUCUUUGUUGGUGACAGAAAUGGUUUUGCCGAGUAGCUUAGAAGUCUUAAUAAUGAUAAUGGUUUUGCCGAGUAGUACACCUUUUUUGUAAUAUUUUUUGGUGCAUUUACCAUUGAAAUAUGCAGUCAGAAAAUUAUUCAGAUAUGUUUUUUAUUGGAUGUUCAGGUUUAUAGAGGUUAAAUGUGUUAUGGUGUCGAACUUAUGGUGCCUGACAGGUGUUCACUUUCCUUGUACGAUUAUUGCCACUAUCUUGUCCCACAGAUUUCAUUAUUUAGCAUAGUCUUUAAAACAUAUUUUCAAGGGAUAAAUUUGCUGAGUUGCUCAUUCCAUUUUCUAUUUUUGUGCUCCUAACUAUUUAAAUGUGUUUGUGAGUGGGUCUCAGUAUGCAGUCUUGUUCUGGCCUGUUGCCAUGUUAGCAAGAGGAACAUGAGAAGUGGAGAAGAAUCAUGCGCCGUUGCAUCGUCGCCUAAAAAGCCAGCUCCAAGCUUAGAUGGUCGCCAUAUUCUAAUCUCUCUUUCUCUCUUUCUUGUCUGUUUGUAUAGAUUUGUUUACAUUGAGUAAAUUCGAGUGAAUUUAUUUUCUACUUUGAGUGAAUUUGCUUUCUAUUUUUGGUACUUUGUUAGGUUGAUAAAAGGGUAGUUUUUUCUUGUUAAUUGUCACAAAAAAUAUAUUCUCCGUGAAAUAGAACAUGAAAUUUUAUGCAUAUCCGUCCUUUAAUUUACUUUGAUUUAUCAACGUCUGAUUUUUUCACGUAUGUUUCUCUUAACUUGCAGUGAAUUGGACAUUAGAUCAUACACAUAUUUAAAGUAAAUUGGAAAGUACAAAUAAAAUGUUUAACUUGAACACAUAGGUAUGGAAUUACCAUUUGUUUAUAUCGGUCUUCCUAGCUAAAUCAUGGAACUCGCUUAACCAUUCGCGGUAGCUUUCAUGUGCGCAUAUAGCAUCAUCAUUCCAAGAUUCAAAUGAUUUUUUCAACACUUAACACUGAUACUUUCUUUUUACCCAUGAAGGUGUGGUACGAUCAGAUAACAAAGCAUUUGCCCCCAGUU
Lolium rigidum is the source of this 1869-nucleotide long non-coding RNA. RefSeq lists it as uncharacterized. Lineage: Eukaryota; Viridiplantae; Streptophyta; Magnoliopsida; Poales; Poaceae. The transcript has 4 exons. The record is from RefSeq and is a predicted model, not a curated record.